UCUAUCCUCGGCUGAUCUCAAAGUGGCCAGCCCUCAGCAUCUGUCUUCCACGUGGUACCAUUACCUGCAGGUACCACCACACCCGGCCCUGUACCUAUUUUUUCCCUACAAUUCUGAGUAUGUGCGUAUAUUUUAUCAUACUUACCUGAAAGCCCUCUCCCUCUUCAGUUUCAGGCAUCACUUCCAUUCCAAGAAGCCUGUCAGAUAAGAGCCCCCCUCAGCCCCAGCUCCUCUUACUAUCUGACCUGUUGUUCACUGUGGGCUUCCCUUUACCUGAUUCCCAGGUAGAAGCUGCAGCAGGCUCCUGGCCUUACUCUUUGCUUGAUAAACAUUUGAUUGGCCUUGCUAUUGCCAGUGCUCUGAUAGACACCUCACAGCAGAAGCCUUCUGAUAAUAAAGACAAGACUUCCGGAGUCCGCAACCGGAAACACCUCUCCACACGUCAAGGAACUUGUGUCUGAAUGGAAAUCACUUCCGUGCUAUGUGCUGGUUUACUUCACAAAUGGCUUCCGUUAAAGCUGUUCUGCGGCCUUGGGUUUUACAGAGGUUAAUGUCCUAUGAUCCCAGCCCCGAGCACAGUUCCCUGUAAGUGGGCAAUGUCCCAAGUGGCCAAAGAAUGCCAAUGAGUUUUUUAAAGUAGCAGUAUUGAUGAUCACAAGUGAUAAAGUCAGUUUUUAUGGCUCCCUUAGGCUUAGAGCUAACAUAACUUACUAUGGAAAAAGAUGUAUAUUGUUUCUUAAUGCAGAUGGAAAUAUGUAAUUCAUAUAAACCAACUGUUUAUAUCCCAAGACUUUAAAGAAAGACGUUUUAUACUGCUUGAAUGGUGAGAAAUGUACAGUUUUUGCCUCUUAGCAAACUUAGAUUAUUUGAGUAUAAAUAGGAAAUGAACAAAUCAUGGCAGCUGUAAUUGCUGUUUUGUCUCAUUAUAAAUAUGAAAGAAAGGCUUUUAUUUAAUAAGCUGUAGGUCACUGUGUUUAAAUACUCCAUGUGACCACAUAGUAUCCAGAGUCAAUUUGAGAAUGUAACAAUUUCCAACUAAUGGCAACCCGGACCAGAGAGUUGGUCUGGAUGUGGCAAUAUCUUUGUUAGAGUUCGGAGCGUGGGGACAUUCCUGAAACAGAGAAUGGAAAAGACUGACUGGCAAUCAGUGUCGCUUCCUCCCACAAGCAGCCUCCAGUUCAACAACCAGAAGACAGCCAGUGCGGUCAUUGGAUAGCAGAGUCUCUGGUCCUGAUGGUGGUGCUUUGGUUGCCUGGGAAUCUCGGUGGGGGUACCAGGCCAAGGUGUUCCUCUGGUCUCCACUAGAAGGUGUCAUUUUCUUCCAGUCUUAUUCUAUUCUCUGGAUUUUAUUUACCUCUUAACAAGCAUUACAAAAUGGAUCUUAAAAGUAAGACUUUCCAAGUCCCCUGCUACCAACUUCUUCCUGUAGAAUGCAAGCAGACAAGAGCGGGUCCGGUGAGCAUCAGCAAAUUCUCCAUCCCCAGUGCAACCACACCACAGUCGCCGUGCGGUGAGAUGUCCACAGUCCAAAAACAAAUUCAUUGCUGGCCACAUCCAAAACAUCCCUCAUGACAAAAAGUCCUGAAAAACAGCAGAAAGGAAAAACAAAAGGGCAGCUCCCACAUGGAAUUGUCAUUUGUGUGCUAAUAUCGACUGUAGUUCACUGAAGUUCAGUCUGGAGUGGCCGUGGUUGACUUCAGGGUGAGCACAGGAGAGAAGAGAACAAUGAACAAGAUACCCAAAGCUGCUGUGCACUCUGUAGUCUUAUUUAAUGUUAGAGUCAUUACAUCUAAUCAAUGUUAAGUACUGCAUACACACUUUUCAUGUUCUCUGGAGUUCUGGAAGGGGAUGACACUUUACAAUUAAUGCCUCCUUACUUGCAUGCCACGGUUGUACAGUAGCAGAAUAUGACCCUAUUCCAAUAUCAAAUAUUUAUUUCAAAUUCCAUGUAUACAUAGCUUAAUUUGAUGAGGAUCGAGUGUAAUAUGUAACAGAAAUGACCACAGAAUAUGUACUGCAUCUUAUAAAAACAUAGGUCGCAUCUAACCAUGAUCGUCUUAUUUUGAUAACUAGCCUUUUGAAUAUAGUAUAUAUUCUUUAUGUUGGCAUGAUAACUUCACUAUAUUUUCCAUGCACUCAAAAUCAGAUGAACUUGUAGAAUAGUUUUAGUAAUUUUCUCUACAGCCUGUGGGGUUUGGCUGGGAGAUGAAGGGCUGGUUGCUGGUACUUCCCAGGAGAUUUUCUCUCAGAGUAUUACUUGAGCUGAAUUUGUAAUUGUCUCCUAAAAACAAUCAAGGAAUUCGAUCAACUUCUUUUGGAUACUUUACAUGUGGAUUUUUUCCCAUGAAAUAAUAAAUUGGCAAGACCGGUCAUUACAAACAUCUAAUCAUUUGAAAAUAAAGCAGUUGCUCAUUUUGUUUAAUCCCUAACAUCUGUCACUAGAGAAAGCUCAUGCAGCAGAAAGAGAAGUCACCAGACCUGUGUGAGUCAUCACAGCUUCCAGCCGUCAACACCAGUCUGGAGGAGCUGUCCAGUCUCACCCACCAUGAAUCCCACAGGGUUCUUAAAACUUGAAAAUUUGAAUUUUAGAUAAUUAUGGAAUUUAAUGCAAUGUCACACUCUACCAUUAACUCUGUGGCCAAUUAUGCAAUAUAUUCUCGGCAUAUAAAGCUUUUUACUGGAAAUAAAAUUCUUCACCCCCAGGUGAGGUGAGCCAAAGGCA
This is a non-coding RNA of Cricetulus griseus (Chinese hamster), 2722 nucleotides long. The record is from RefSeq and is a predicted model, not a curated record. Lineage: Eukaryota; Metazoa; Chordata; Mammalia; Rodentia; Cricetidae.